GAUGAACGCUAGCGGCAGGCUUAACACAUGCAAGUCGAGGGGCAGCAUAAUGGUUAGCCAUAUCUAUGGUGGCGACCGGCGCACGGGUGCGUAACGCGUAUGCAACCUACCUUUAACAGGGGGAUAACACUGAGAAAUUGGUACUAAUACCCCAUAAUAUCAUAGAAGGCAUCUUUUAUGGUUGAAAAUUCCGAUGGUUAGAGAUGGGCAUGCGUUGUAUUAGCUAGUUGGUGGGGUAACGGCCCACCAAGGCGACGAUACAUAGGGGGACUGAGAGGUUAACCCCCCACACUGGGACUGAGGCACGGACCAGACUCCGACGGGAGGCAGCAGUGAAGAAUAUUGGUCAAUGGACGCAAGUCUGAACCAGCCAUGCCGCGUGCAGGAUGACGGCGCUAUGAGUUGUAAACUGCUUUUGUACGAGGGUAAACGCAGAUACGUGUAUCGGUCUGAAAGUAUCGUACGAAUAAGGAUCGGCUAACUCCGUG
This 488-nucleotide ribosomal RNA is filed under the name uncultured bacterium. Its description in RNAcentral is "partial 16S ribosomal RNA". It matches the Rfam family "Bacterial small subunit ribosomal RNA", at positions 28 to 507 of the family's 1533-position model. The record is from RNAcentral.